RNAcentral lists this ribosomal RNA (663 nucleotides) under Weissella paramesenteroides. RNAcentral's name for it is "bacterial SSU rRNA". It matches the Rfam family "Bacterial small subunit ribosomal RNA", at positions 24 to 644 of the family's 1533-position model. The record is from RNAcentral. Lineage: Bacteria; Bacillati; Bacillota; Bacilli; Lactobacillales; Lactobacillaceae.
UCAGGAUGAACGCUGGCGGCGUGCCUAAUACAUGCAAGUCGAACGCUUUGUCUUUAAUUGAUCUGACGAGCUUGCUCUGAUGUGAUUUUAUCUGACAAAGAGUGGCGAACGGGUGAGUAACACGUGGGUAACCUACCUCUUAGCAGGGGAUAACAUUUGGAAACAAGUGCUAAUACCGUAUAAUACCAACAACCGCAUGGUUGUUGGUUGAAAGAUGGUUCUGCUAUCACUAAGAGAUGGACCCGCGGUGCAUUAGCUAGUUGGUAAGGUAACGGCUUACCAAGGCAAUGAUGCAUAGCCGAGUUGAGAGACUGAUCGGCCACAAUGGGACUGAGACACGGCCCAUACUCCUACGGGAGGCAGCAGUAGGGAAUCUUCCACAAUGGGCGCAAGCCUGAUGGAGCAACGCCGCGUGUGUGAUGAAGGGUUUCGGCUCGUAAAACACUGUUAUAAGAGAAGAACGGCACUGAGAGUAACUGUUCAGUGUGUGACGGUAUCUUACCAGAAAGGAACGGCUAAAUACGUGCCAGCAGCCGCGGUAAUACGUAUGUUCCAAGCGUUAUCCGGAUUUAUUGGGCGUAAAGCGAGCGCAGACGGUUAUUUAAGUCUGAAGUGAAAGCCCUCAGCUCAACUGAGGAAUGGCUUUGGAAACUGGAUGACUGA